AUGACAUGGAAACAUACCAUCACCUCACAAACCUUAACUUACAUGAUCAGUUAUGAUGCCCUACGAUGUGCAAAAGUUAUAUUGGAGGGCAAGGCACCAAGGCUCAAUGGACACCAUGCCAAUCCCAACUGCAUUAACCCAUAUGGAUACUUCCCGCUCCAUGAAGCUGCCGAAAGGUUUUCUGUUGACAUGAUCAAGUUACUCUUUCGUCAUGGUGCAUCAGCCAGUGUACGCACAGUUGGGGAUAACAUCAUUGAGAACCUACUCCCACUCCAUGUUGCGGUCGAAAAUACUUGCCUGCAUAAGUAUUUGGAGGAUAAUUUAUUUCCAUACCAGAACCAUUGGGAUUAUAUCUACAAGAUUAUCCAUCUGCUAUGCAUGCCUGAAAUGAAAAUUUUUUGGAUACGGUUAGACUGCUAG
This 420-nucleotide ribosomal RNA is filed under the name Triticum aestivum (bread wheat). RNAcentral describes it as "partial small subunit ribosomal RNA". Lineage: Eukaryota; Viridiplantae; Streptophyta; Magnoliopsida; Poales; Poaceae. The record is from RNAcentral.